UACAGAGGUCUCGAGCGUUGUUCGGAUUCAUUGGGCGUAAAGGGUGCGUAGGUGGCGCUGUAAGUCAGGUGUGAAAUUUCGGAGCUUAACUCCGAAACUGCAUUUGAUACUGCGGUGCUUGAGGACUGGAGAGGAGACUGGAAUUUACGGUGUAGCAGUGAAAUGCGUAGAGAUCGUAAGGAGGACCAGUGGCGAAGGCGGGUCUCUGGACAGUUCCUGACACUGAGGCACGAAGGCCAGGGGAGCAAACGGG
Molecule: ribosomal RNA, 253 nt
Filed under: uncultured bacterium
Lineage: Bacteria
Description: partial 16S ribosomal RNA
Rfam family: Bacterial small subunit ribosomal RNA
Source: RNAcentral